Molecule: RNA transcript, 1012 nt
Organism: Cyanidioschyzon merolae strain 10D
Lineage: Eukaryota; Rhodophyta; Bangiophyceae; Cyanidiales; Cyanidiaceae
Exons: 1
Source: RefSeq, a predicted model, not a curated record
GACGUGACACGUUCAGUGAGACCUUCGGCAGGGGCUUUUUUCAACAACUCGCCAGGGAACGACGUCGAUUAAUUCGCGUCCUCAGUCUAGUGGCGCAUAUUGCUGGGUCCACGAGUUUCCUGAAAACGUAAAGAUCGAAAACUUGAAGAAUAUGUUAUUGAAGCAUGCGGUAUGUAUGGAGAAGAGAGACGUGGAGGCUAGUACUUGCUAGCAGGAAGAUAUCGAUUACUUUAUGAAUCAGUGGUACACUGCAUCGCGAAUCAUUUCCAAGCCACUUACGUCAAGAAUCGCACCGGCAAACUUUCGAAGGAGUCGCUCUGAAACGACGACAGAGAAUCCGAAAACUUCGUACGAGGAGUCCCUGAGCUCUGAUACCUGCACUCCGUGCCUCCAGGCCGUGAAUCUACAGUGCAUUCGGGAACGUAAUCGAGAGGCAGGAACAAGGCAGCCUGUUCAGUGUACCAGGUUCAUUGAGCACGAGUCCUUCGAAGGUGACCGCUGCCCAGCUCCCGUCAAGGCGCUGGGUCAACCAGCACGCAGUCAGCCCUAUUUGCUUCCACAUCCAUAGCGCCAGGUGUCGCACAGUGGCAUAUCAUAUCAAACGGACAUGAACUGCGUUUCAAGAGGAAAAAACCCUGCCGAGAUGCCAGACGUGGAGACGCAGGCUCGCAUCCCGGAUCUCGACUACGAAACAAAUUCUAGUCGGCAAGUUUCAGGGCUCUGGUGCUGUUUGACAAAGUGCAUCCGCGCUGACAGACUAUCUGAGGGUAAAGCGCAAAGCGUCUUAGUCUAGACGAGACAACCGUUGGUAGUGCAAACACGACAUAGUUGUUGCCGGAAAAGCAAAGCUCCGCGAAAGCACUCGCGUCCCUGGCAACAUUGCGAUCGACGUUUCGCGAGCUGUCGCGUUCGAUGAACAAACGAAAGUUGCGUCGUUCGCGAACGUCAAGUCCUCAGUGGAAACUGCGUUACUCGACCAGAACGAAAGUUUUUAUAGGUAAAAGAGCAAGAC